Molecule: ribosomal RNA, 484 nt
Filed under: uncultured bacterium
Lineage: Bacteria
Description: partial 16S ribosomal RNA
Rfam family: Bacterial small subunit ribosomal RNA
Source: RNAcentral
AUUGAACGCUGGCGGCAGGCCUAACACAUGCAAGUCGAGCGGAUGAAGGGGGCUUGCUCCUGGAUUCAGCGGCGGACGGGUGAGUAAUGCCUAGGAAUCUGCCUGGUAGUGGGGGAUAACGUCCGUAAACGGGCGCUAAUACCGCAUACGUCCUGAGGUAGAAAGUGGGGGUUCUUUGGACCUCACGCUAUCAGAUGAGCCUAGGUCGGAUUAGCUAGUUGGUGGGGCAAAGGCCUACCAAGGCGACGUUCCGUAACUAGUCUGAGAGGAUGAUCAGUCACACUGGAACUGAGACACGGUCCAGACUCCUUCGGGAGGCAGCAGUGAGGAAUAUUCGACAAUGGGCGAAAGCCUGAUCCAGCCAUGCCGCGUGUGUGAAGAAGGUCUUCGGAUUGUAAAGCACUUUUAGUUGGGAGGAAGGGGAGUGGGUUCAUACGUUGCUGUUUUGACGGUACCAACGGAAAAAGCCCCGGCUAACUACGUG